CACUUAUCCAAACUGGUUGUGGUGUUGAAAAAAAUCAUCACAACCUCCUUGAAUGAGUGU
RNAcentral lists this microRNA precursor (60 nucleotides) under Mytilus galloprovincialis (Mediterranean mussel). Lineage: Eukaryota; Metazoa; Mollusca; Bivalvia; Mytilida; Mytilidae. The record is from RNAcentral.